Molecule: non-coding RNA, 122 nt
Filed under: Propionimicrobium lymphophilum
Lineage: Bacteria; Bacillati; Actinomycetota; Actinomycetes; Propionibacteriales; Propionibacteriaceae
Also listed under: 1 other name
Description: FMN sequence
Rfam family: FMN riboswitch aptamer (RFN element)
About the family: The RFN element is a highly conserved domain that is found frequently in the 5'-untranslated regions of prokaryotic mRNAs that encode for flavin mononucleotide (FMN) biosynthesis and transport proteins. This element is a metabolite-dependent riboswitch that directly binds FMN in the absence of proteins. In Bacillus subtilis, the riboswitch most likely controls gene expression by causing premature transcription termination within the 5' untranslated region of the ribDEAHT operon and precluding access to the ribosome-binding site of ypaA mRNA.
Source: RNAcentral
GAACAUUGCCCGGGGUCAGUGAAAGUCUGAACCGGCGGUGAUAGUCCGCGAACCUGCGCCAGCAGGCCGAUCCGGUGGAAAUCCGGAACCGACGGUUAAAGUCCGGAUGGGAGGCGCACAAA